RNAcentral lists this ribosomal RNA (807 nucleotides) under uncultured crenarchaeote. RNAcentral describes it as "bacterial SSU rRNA". It matches the Rfam family "Archaeal small subunit ribosomal RNA", at positions 85 to 876 of the family's 1478-position model. Lineage: Archaea; Thermoproteati; Thermoproteota. The record is from RNAcentral.
ACGGCUCAGUAACACGUGGUCAAUCUACCCUCAGGACGGAGAUAACCUCGGGAAACUGAGGCUAAUAUCCGAUAGAUAAUGGAUCCUGGAAUGGUUCAUUAUUCAAACGGCACAUUGCUCAUGCGCAGUGUGUCGCCUGAGGAUGAGACUGCACCCUAUCAGGUAGUUGGUGGGGUAAUGGCCCACCAAGCCUAUAACGGGUACGGGCCCUGAGAGGGGGAGCCCGGAGAUGGGCACUGAGACAAGGGCCCAGGCCCUACGGGGCGCAGCAGGCGCGAAACCUCUGCAAUGCGCGAAAGCGCGACAGGGCCACCCCGAGUGCUAGCCGCUGAGGUUAGCUUUUCCUUAGUGUAGUAAGCUAAGGGAAUAAGCGGGGGGCAAGCCUGGUGUCAGCCGCCGCGGUAAUACCAGCUCCGCGAGUGGUCGGGACGAUUAUUGGGCCUAAAGCGUCCGUAGCCGGCCUAUCAAGUCUCUGGUUAAACCUCAAGGCUCAACUUUGAGAUCGCUGGAGAUACUGUUAGGCUAGGGGGCGGGAGAGGUUGAGGGUACUCCGCGGGUAGGGGCGAAAUCCUAUAAUCCGCGAAGGACCACCAGUGGCGAAGGCGCUCAACUGGAACGCGCCCGACGGUGAGGGACGAAAGCCAGGGGAGCAAAGGGGAUUAGAUACCCCCGUAGUCCUGGCUGUAAACGAUGCGGGCUAGGUGUUGGGUUGGCUUCGUGCCAACCCGGUGCCGCAGUGAAGACGAUAAGCCCGCCGCCUGGGAAGUACGGCUGCAAGGCUGAAACUUAAAGGAAUUGGCGGGGGAG